Molecule: long non-coding RNA, 323 nt
Organism: Cyprinus carpio carpio
Lineage: Eukaryota; Metazoa; Chordata; Actinopteri; Cypriniformes; Cyprinidae
Source: Ensembl
GUGCUGUAUUAGAUUACAGUGAAGCACUUGGGAAACAACAAUUUGUCAAUAGGAAUGAAAUUGUUUAUAUUCCAUUUCAAAACCUCUUAUUUUAAUCUCUUUUAUAUGCAUUGUUCUCUGAUGUCCUCAGAUUCCCCAGGGUUUUCAUCUGGUGGUUCUUGAAGUGUGUCAAAUGGACAUUGGUGUGAGUCACAGAGGAACUGCUGAAAGAAGUUGAACAUUUCUAUAGACAAAGUUGAUACGUUCCUCUUCCAUUCCUGAAGACUGAAGAGACAAAAGAAGACAUGACAAUGUUUCUGAUUUGAUCAGAAGAGGAAAGACGC